AGGCAGCAGUGAGGAAUAUUGGUCAAUGGGCGCGAGCCUGAACCAGCCAAGUCGCGUGAGGGAGGACGGCCCUACGGGUUGUAAACCUCUUUUGCCGGGGAGCAACGGGCGUCACGUGUGGCGCCACUGAGAGUACCCGGAGAAAAAGCAUCGGCUAACUCCGUGCCAGCAGCCGCGGUAAUACGGAGGAUGCGAGCGUUAUCCGGAUUUAUUGGGUUUAAAGGGUGCGUAGGCGGAUCGUUAAGUCAGUGGUCAAAUUGAGGGGCUCAACCCCUUCCCGCCAUUGAAACUGGCGAUCUUGAGUGGAAGAGAAGUAUGCGGAAUGCGUGGUGUAGCGGUGAAAUGCAUAGAUAUCACGCAGAACCCCGAUUGCGAAGGCAGCAUGCCGGCUUCCGACUGACGCUGAAGCACGAAAGCGUGGGGAUCGAACAGGAUUAGAUACCCUGGUAGUCCACGCGGUAAACGAUGAGCGCUAGGUGUCCGGGGGGAAUGGCCCCUGG
This 500-nucleotide ribosomal RNA is filed under the name uncultured bacterium. RNAcentral's name for it is "bacterial SSU rRNA". It matches the Rfam family "Bacterial small subunit ribosomal RNA", at positions 346 to 842 of the family's 1533-position model. The record is from RNAcentral.